UACCAGCACCUCGAGUGGUCGGGACGUUUAUUGGGCCUAAAGCAUCCGUAGCCGGUUCUACAAGUCUUCCGUUAAAUCCAACUGCUUAACAGGUGGGCUGCGGAAGAUACUAUAGAGCUAGGAGGCGGGAGAGGCAAGCGGUACUCGAUGGGUAGGGGUAAAAUCCGUUGAUCCAUUGAAGACCACCAGUGGCGAAGGCGGCUUGCCAGAACGCGCUCGACGGUGAGGGAUGAAAGCUGGGGGAGCAAACCGG
This 253-nucleotide ribosomal RNA is filed under the name uncultured bacterium. RNAcentral's name for it is "partial 16S ribosomal RNA". It matches the Rfam family "Archaeal small subunit ribosomal RNA", at positions 474 to 727 of the family's 1478-position model. The record is from RNAcentral.